RNAcentral lists this long non-coding RNA (565 nucleotides) under Phoenix dactylifera (date palm). RNAcentral describes it as "long non-coding RNA (PDAC_LNC012525)". The record is from RNAcentral. Lineage: Eukaryota; Viridiplantae; Streptophyta; Magnoliopsida; Arecales; Arecaceae.
GUUGGUCUCAGCAGACCUAAUUGAUUGUAAAUCAGGCCCAAUUCAAGCCCAAUUCAACUGACAGAAGGUCGAAUUGACCUUGGGCUAAUCCUGACUCAGGCCCAAAUGAGCCACAUUGACCAAAUCAGAGGAUCCAAUUGGCUAGAAAAGGUUGGACCCAAUUAUAAACGAGGCCCAAUCCUUUAAUUAAAAACCCAAUCAACCCAUGUGGACCCAAUUUGGUUUUAAAUCGAACCCCAAAGGCUUCAAAUUGGAUUUGGACUAAAUCCUUGGAUGGGAUCCAAGCAAGUAAGUUCAUAGUAUGAUGAACUAAGAAAUUUCAUAAUAAAUAAAUGGGGAAUAAUGUAAACCCUAUGAUGUUGUUUUAGGUGAUUAAGGAUUUGUCACCUGGAUUUGAGCAAUUUGGAAAGCGAAUUGAAGUAAGUAAUCUGUCUUAAUCUUAUCGUAGAUCUUGUAUUACGUUUUAUAAGAUGAACCAGUGUUUUUCAUACAAUUUGAAUUGUAUACAUGAUUUGUGAAGAAAGUAAGUAACCUGUUCUAAUCCUGUUAUGGAUCAUGUCAUGUU